UACGUAGGGUGCGAGCGUUAAUCGGAAUUACUGGGCGUAAAGGGCGCGUAGGCGGCCUUCUAAGUCGAACGUGAAAUCCCCGGGCUCAACCCGGGAACUGCGUCCGAUACUGGAAGGCUUGAAUCCGGGAGAAGGAUGCGGAAUUCCAGGUGUAGCGGUGAAAUGCGUAGAUAUCUGGAGGAACACCGGUGGCGAAGGCGGCAUCCUGGACCGGCAUUGACGCUGAGGCGCGAAAGCCAGGGGAGCAAACGGG
RNAcentral lists this ribosomal RNA (253 nucleotides) under uncultured bacterium. RNAcentral describes it as "partial 16S ribosomal RNA". It matches the Rfam family "Bacterial small subunit ribosomal RNA", at positions 524 to 776 of the family's 1533-position model. The record is from RNAcentral.